UGGGGAAUAUUGGGCAAUGGGCGCAAGCCUGACCCAGCAACGCCGCGUGAAGGAAGAAGGCUUUCGGGUUGUAAACUUCUUUUGUCAGGGAACAGUAGAAGAGGGUACCUGACGAAUAAGCCACGGCUAACUACGUGCCAGCAGCCGCGGUAAUACGUAGGUGGCAAGCGUUGUCCGGAUUUACUGGGUGUAAAGGGCGUGCAGCCGGGCUGGUAAGUCAGAUGUGAAAUCCGUGGGCUUAACCCACGAACUGCAUUUGAAACUGCUGGUCUUGAGUACCGGAGAGGUUAUCGGAAUUCCUUGUGUAGCGGUGAAAUGCGUAGAUAUAAGGAAGAACACCAGUGGCGAAGGCGGAUAACUGGACGGCAACUGACGGUGAGGCGCGAAAGCGUGGGGAGCAAACA
Molecule: ribosomal RNA, 404 nt
Filed under: uncultured bacterium
Lineage: Bacteria
Description: bacterial SSU rRNA
Rfam family: Bacterial small subunit ribosomal RNA
Source: RNAcentral